GCCGACAUGGUGGAAUUGGUAGACACGCACGGUUCAGGGCCGUGUCGCCGUUAGGCGGUGAGAGUUCAAUUCUCUCUGUCGGCA
This 84-nucleotide transfer RNA is filed under the name Bacteroidota bacterium. Its description in RNAcentral is "Bacteroidetes bacterium (hot springs metagenome) tRNA-Leu". It matches the Rfam family "tRNA". Rfam says of the family: Transfer RNA (tRNA) molecules are approximately 80 nucleotides in length. The record is from RNAcentral. Lineage: Bacteria; Pseudomonadati; Bacteroidota.